RNAcentral lists this transfer RNA (73 nucleotides) under Dehalococcoidia bacterium. Its description in RNAcentral is "tRNA-Lys". It matches the Rfam family "tRNA". From Rfam's summary of the family: Transfer RNA (tRNA) molecules are approximately 80 nucleotides in length. Lineage: Bacteria; Bacillati; Chloroflexota; Dehalococcoidia. The record is from RNAcentral.
GGGCCGCUAGCUCAAUUGGCAGAGCAGCUGACUCUUAAUCAGCGGGUUGGAGGUUCGAGUCCUCCGCGGCUCA